This 228-nucleotide ribosomal RNA is filed under the name uncultured bacterium. RNAcentral's name for it is "partial 16S ribosomal RNA". It matches the Rfam family "Bacterial small subunit ribosomal RNA", at positions 15 to 239 of the family's 1533-position model. The record is from RNAcentral.
GAUCAUGGCUCAGAUUGAACGCUGGCGGCAGGCUUAACACAUGCAAGUCGAACGGUAGCAGGAGAAAGCUUGCUUUCUUGCUGACGAGUGGCGGACGGGUGAGUAAUGCUUGGGAAUCUGGCCUAUGGAGGGGGAUAACUACGGGAAACUGUAGCUAAUACCGCGUAGUAUCGGAAGAUGAAAGUGCGGGACCGCAAGGCCGCAUGCCAUGAGAUGAGCCCAAGUGGG